AUUUUUCCUUCACUUCCAAAUCUGGUAUAUCUGUGCUUGUACGUUUAGGGUACGUGAGGCCUGAUGGUCCAGAGCAGUGUACCUGUCUGUGUAGAGCUGGAUUAUUUAUUCAUCUGGGGUAUAUGACCAGAGGUCCUAGCUUGGAGAAUUCCUUGUUUUUAGAACUUUUACUCAGGGUCCUAAAAUCUGGGGGUAGGCAGGCUGCAAUGCCUUCCCCUCCCUCCUUGCAUAUCACCCCCUCCUAUGGAUUCAGAGUACUGAGUUGUGAUACUUAGUAUCACCAAGUCAGUACUAGGUUAAAAUUCAAGUAUUAAAAUAUUUUCAAAUAGGUGCUAUUCUUUCAAGCCUUGGGUUUGUCUGUAGGAUAGAAUUGUGUAUACUCUGUCGUAUCUCAGGCCAGAGCUGAGUUUUCCUUUCACAAUGCCCAAGUUGAAUCUAAAUGGUGUGGCGCUCAUUAAUGGAAACAAUCUGCUAUCAGACGUAGCCUGAUUGGUUUAUCAAACUAAGUGCAGGACCCGGUAAAGUCAAGGUCAAGGUCGGAGUCCCCUCCUCUGGGUAACACUGGAGGUGUCUUGGCAUUUUUUUUGUGUUGAGAUGAUAGACACCGUCAUAGCUAGUGUUCAUCAUUUUAGCGAAUAAAAUGUUUUUUAAAAGGUCUUCUUUAUUUUACUUUUUAAGAUUUUAUAGCAAAAUGUAUAUGAAGACAAAUUGAAACAAAGAAAGCAGACAGCUUUUGGAGAUUUUUAGCCUCCAAAGUAUAAUUGUGGAAAUUUGAUUACAGCUCAGAUAGAGGCAUCAUUAAUAAAGAUGGUUAGCAGUUAUUAAGAAUGUCAGAAAAGCUUGAAAUUGAGUUGUUUUUCAGCCCUAGCAUUGUUAGAAAGAAGCUGUUUACAUUUUAUUCUGAAAACUAAUAUUAAGAUACUGUAAUUUAAAAUAAAAUGAAAAAUGAAAAAAUUUAAUAGAAGAUAAUGAAUACAUUUGAGAUAAAUACUUCCUUUAUAUUGCAUUUUAUUAUAGCUUUAUCGUACUUGAUAAGAGAAAUGAGUGAAUUAUUAAAUGUUAGAAAUAGGCUUGGUAGCUUUAGCUUGUAUUGUAAGAGAAAAGCAGAAAUCCUGGCCAUUGGACUUAACAAUCUAAUGAAACAUUUAGUAGAGAAUACAGAGCAUUUGCUUAUUCCAUAGGAGUUUGAGCUCAAGAUUUCAGCCUGUGGUGGUGCUUUUAAUGUGGUACCUCUUGUCUUAUGAGACUGCUAGAUCCCAGGAAAGAUGUAUCACCACAACUUGCCAAACAAUCAGAACUCCCCUUCUAGCACCAACCAUUCUCGCAUCCACCCUGCACUCAGAAUGAACAGUGUUCCUGAAAGCUUCAGGAAUCAUGGCUGCUCGUUGAUUGUCAUUACAUGACUUCUUGAGCCUUCCAAGUGGUAUGAGGAGGGCUAGCUCCAGAUUUUUUUUUUUUUUUCUCCUCUGAAAUUACCUCAUUAUCUUUGCCAUUGAUAUUAGAACUAAAUAAAAAUUGGGUCAGUAGUAUGCUUGAAAUGUAAAGCUCAGACUCACAUCCAAGAAGUUCCUAAGACAUGAAAGUAGGAGAGGCAGCAGCUAAACCAACAGAUGGCUCUGAAACAGAUAAGCAGGUAUAAAUGUAUUAACCUGGAGUCUUAAGAAGAGAGUUCUGAAUACUGCUGAUUUAUCUAAGCUUUAUUUUUACUAAAAUGUCUUCAUUUCUCUUUGACCAAUUAAUUCAACUUACAGGAAAUUAUACGAGGGAAAUCAUCAGAAGCAGUAGUGAUAAUUUAUUUCCAUUACCUUAGAGGUGGGGUUUUGGAGGGCUUUUUUUGGGGGGGGGGGUUCCUUUUUGGCCACUCCGGGGCAUAUGGAGCUCCCGGCCCAGGAAUCAGAUCUGAGCCACAGUUGUGACCUGCAGUGCAGCUCUGGCAACAGCGAGCGGUUCCUUUAACCCGCUGUGCCAGACUAGGGAUCGAACCUGUGUCCUAGCACUGCAGAGACGCUGCUAAUCCCGUUGUUCCACAGUAGGAACUCCAUAGUGUUCUAAGCACUUAAGAAUUAGAAACAGUCUAAAUGCGUAUCUUUAUUCUUUUUUGGUUUCUUUUCCCCCUAAAUUUUCUACAGUGGACCCGUCAGUGUCAUGAGAAAAGCACUUGGGUAUAUUUUCUUAGCUGUCUUUUAAGAGAAAGCAUUAAACAUUAGCAACAUUAGAAAGCAUUAAACAUUAGCAAAAACUGUGUUACUAGUCACAGAAUACCUACCAGGAGGGCUUUUUGGGGGUUUUGUUCUCUGUCUGGAUCUUUGGUCUCCAGUUGUGCUGUUGAGUAGUGUCAGCAGCCUCCUUGGCCUGGAGUGCCACUGUGGGUGAGGUGAGCUUGGGGCGGGGAGGGCGCAGGGCCAGCUUCUCAUGCUGGUGGGAAGAAGGGAAGAGACAGGAAACAGAGUAAAGACUACAAGAAGAAGAAAAAGGAGGAGAGACAGAUGUACAGGGGGUGGGAUCCAUCAGAAGUCCUCAACAACUCCACGUUCACUAACCUGGAUUUUUUCUUAUUUUUGAGCAAAAUGUUAUUUCCAUGUAUCAACUUUGUUCCACCAAUUCCCAUUUGGUAAAUAUGUUUUUGGAAAGCUACUCCACCUCUCACUGCUUUAUUAUGGUUUAGAGUUCUCCAAGUAUUUCAUCUUUUUCCUAACAUUUGUCAUUUACCAUUUCUUUUUCAAAAUCUUUCCAUACAGAGAAAUUAAGUUCUUUAAAUGUCUCUUGUAGCUAAGAUUUAAUUUUCCUUCUUGGGUAUCUUGAAAUUCUGCCUUUUGUUAUUUUUACCUAAUAGUGGCUUUUUCCAUCAGCAGGAAUGAAAGCAGUCAAUAAAAAUCAAUUGCUGACUCAAUGACUAUAUGGAGGGUUUACCAUAAUGCAUAUUGGAAAUGUCUUUGAAACCCUUUUCCUGAAUGGAAGGUGCGAGGCUUGGGGUUUUAUGGCCUUCUAAUGUUAGAUGGUAAUCUCAUUUAGCAUUUUCCCAAAGUGAAAACCAUGCAUUAGGGCAGCAUAACAAGCACUGCAGAUCAAUACAGAGGCAGGGCUUUGCCCUAACAGAUUAAUCCAAGCAAAAUGUACCAGAGUCUAGUCCAGGAACUGGAAGGCAGUUAAUGUUGAUUUCCACACUUCUUCCCCCAUCCUACCAUCUAAUCAUCCGUAUAGCUGAGAUGUGUACAAAAAGGAUUUCAGAAGAUGUCUGCUCGCGUGCACAAGCACGCGCACACACACACACACACUCACACAGAACAGAUUACCAUACAGGAAAUCACGGGUCCUGGAAGUGAGUCGUAUUGAUUUGUGGUGAUAAAAGUAUAUUUUGACACAUUUCAAAUCAUAAAUAACUCAUGGACUUUAACUUGCAUGACUCAUCGCUCAACCCAGGGUAAAUGCUUACAUGUAACUUAAAUUACCUCGUUCUAAGGAGUUCAUAGUAUUAGAUGAGUGAACCCCCUGUGAAUAGUCUUUUCAGGAGGGGAAAAAAAAAACCAAGAAACCACACAGUGUCUUCUUUGUGAUGAGCAGCGUGUGGAGGCUCAUUCUUUACAGUUUUUUCCUGUGUGUUAGUGGGGAGGGGCUGCGUAUCUGGUCGGGAUGGUUCUCGCCUUCUCUCUCAUCUCCUUUCCCCUGCUUUAAAUCUAAGUUAUAUUGGGGGGAAUGAGAUAGAAUAUACCCCUGCUUCCUUAUGAACUCUUACAGACAUUAUUAGUCCUAUAUGUGCUAGGAUCAGCUGACCUGGUGCAUAAUCCUGUUUUAUUCAGUAUUUGUGCAGAUGUGCAUCUUGCGGUAAUCAGUCACUUAGUGUCACGUCUAUGCUUCUACCCCUCGAAGCACAGAUGCUGGUGUUCAUGGUAGGGUAUUAGGGAAAUCCAUGUCUGGAGGAAUUCAUAGAAAUCUGAACUUCAGAAUUUUAAAGUGCGUUGAAACUCCUGGGAUUGGAUUUAAAUUCUGGUAGUAGGUAUUUGGCAAAACAGUAAGGUAAUGAGUGAAAAAGUGCAAGCAAUGUUGUAUAAAACUUGUGGGAUUAUAUUUUUCUCUCUCUCUGUCGGCUUCUUUUUUAGAGGGUAGUAGGAAAUAAAUUCCCUUAGGGGCCAGUAACAUGGUUUGCAUUUCAGUUUUCUAUUCUAGCAAAAUAUAUAUAUUAGCUUAGUGUGUUGGAUAAAAGUAAUGAGGAGACAAAUCGUCACCCAGGGGUUUCCUUAUUGAUGUGAAAUAUUUCUCCUGUGUUCUCUAGGGGUUUUUAAGAGCCCAUCGAAUUUAAAAUAAUGCUAUUUUCAAGAUUACUGUGGAAAUAACAAAUUUAAGUUUCAAAAAAGUGAUAAGAAAGGCUGAAACCACUUCAUUAAACAAAACUAAUUUGAAAAUUAUGAAAUCUAGAUUAAAGUGCUGAUAAUAACAUUUUUUUCCUGGGUAUUUAGUCCUUCUAAUCAAAGUUCUUCUACCAUUUUCACAAGAAUAUUUCAUUUUUGUUUGUAUAAUGCAUUUGGUUUAUUAUCAUUUUUUAAGUGUACAUUAUCAGCUUUUUGGAAGCAUUUUUGUCCAGUACUGCAUAUUCACUGAAAGCUAUCUAACUAAAAUCUUGAGAUCUGUAAGUAUAAUUAGUAAAAUUUUAGCUCAGGGAACUAAAAAAAAAUACUCUCUACACCCAUUGGUAUUCUCAACGAUUUAUUGCAUGACAUUUAUUAGAGGUAUCUGUGUUGAUAGCUGAGAUCACAAAUAAGAUGCAUGGAGUUCCCUUCAUGGUUCAACGGUUAACUACCCGACUAGGAUCCAUGAGAAUGCGGGUUCGAUUCCUGGCCAUGCCCACAGCACAUAGAAGUUCCUGGGUUAAGGAUCCGGCGUUGCCGUGAGCUGCAGUGUAGGUCUCAGGCGCAGCUCGGAUCUGGUGUUGCUAUGGCUCUGGCGUAGGCUGGUGGCAACAGCUCCCAUUAGACCCCUAGCCUGGGAACCUCCAUAUGCCGCGAGUGCAGCCCUGAAAGGACCAGAAACAAAAAACAAAUUGCAGUCCUUACUACCUGGGAUUGGCAUGCUAGUAAAUUGCACUGGACUGUAAUGUAGUGAGUGCUAAGUGCAUGGUGAAAGGAGUUCAUAGGAUCACCAUAAAGGGGACUCUACUGUGGAUGGGGAGAGCUAGUGAGAGUUCUAGGGAGGAAGUGACACUCUAGUACUUAGCUCAGGUAUUGAGAUACCUAGAAAUGGGUGAGGGUUUGGGUGCAGAGCACUUCCAAACUCAAGAGGAGUAUAUCAAAGGUGCAAAGGGACAUGUAAGAACCAAACCCUGAACAGGGUCUGGCUGGGCUGUAGCCCGUGCAGGGUGGUGCACUGAGGUGAAAGAGUAGGCAGAAAUGGAUCCAGAAGGACCUGCUUGUUGAUCUUGUAUUUUACUUAGAAAGCAGGUACUAUCUCAGAUUGAUAUAUUACAAAGAACCUUCUGGGGGGCAGGAAUAGAUGGUGAAAGCUUAGAGACAGAGAGACCUGUGGAGGUCAUGGCUUGAAUCCAGGAUAUAAGUGAUUCGGAAUUAAUGUGAUGACAAUGAAUACGUGAAAGAGGACUGGACUGCAGGUUCUCAAGCUUCCUGACCAACUGGAGUGGGAAUGGAGGAGCACCUUGGCGCUCCCACUCGCUGAUCUGGCUGGCUGGGCUGAAUGCACAUGGUUACGUUUCAGGUCAGGUAGGGAUGUUGACACUAUCCAGAGUCUCUUGGUGGCAUCGAUUAAUAGAACUGAUUUCACAGAAAUCAUCUAAAAGUUGAAGAGGUAUGCCCUUGUGGCGCAGCAGGUUAAGGAUCUGGCCUUGUCCCUGCAGCAGCUUGGGUCGCAGUGAGUUGGAUCCCUGGCCCAGGAACUUCUAUGUGCUGUGGGCACGGCCGAAUUAAAAAAAAAAAGUUGAAGAAAACGAUUUCUCUUAAACUUUUUUGUGGCAUUUGCAACAUUUAUAUCCAUUUACUGUUUUGUCUCUUCUUUGGUCUUUAUCUUUAUUCUGGUUGAAGACCGGUUGUCUCAGUGGUCUGUGUUUUUGUUUUCAGGCGGUAUGAAUGCCAUCCCGUCUGUGCCGACCUGCAGGCCCAGAUUCUCCAGUGUUACCGCCAGAACACCCAGCAGACCCUCAGCUGCUCCGCUCUGGCCAGCGAGUACAUGCGCUGUGUCAAUCAGGCCAAACAGAGCAUGCUUGAAAAGGGAGGAUAAAAGCAACUUUUAGAACAAGCAAAAUUCCCUCAACGUUAAUUCCAGAGGUGGAACAUUUUUUUUUUCCUAGUAAGAAAGUAACCCAUUUAAAGAGAAGACCGUUAAAGAGAAGCAUCAGAGAGCAGAUUCAUCAGAAGCAUAUCACAGUUUGAUCAGCAACAGUUUGAAAAGCCAAGGCCUCCGUCAGGGAUGAGCCAUCAAGGACGUGCUGCAGUGUUAAUAAACCUCAUUUAUGAUGAUUAAAAAGAAAGGUCGCCCUCUCCACCUUCUGUGCUUUCUAUUCAGCUUCCUCUCCUAACCAAGCCCCAUCAUUUGGUGACCCUUCCGUCCCACUAAGCUGGGGGUUGGCGUCGAGGGCUAAGGUCUUUGGAGUGGGGAAAACCUUCCAUUUCAGGCCAGCUGCACCAGGCGGAAUUGGCUAGGCUGGGGCAUGGUGGGGUGCUCUUUUUCUUUUUUCCUUUGACUAUGUAAGAGCUUCUUUAUUUUAACUCAUGGUGAUCAUGUAAGAAGACGAAAGGCAAGAAAAUGUACCUCUCUUACUGGAAUAAUGUUUCUGGUUAAACGUGAAAUAAGGCAUCUUUUUAUCAAUAUGAAGGCAACUUGGCUUCCCCCACCCUCUCCUCUGUCAUGAAUACUGACAUCUUCACCCACCAUCAAUAAUAAAUCUAUUUUCUGAUGAA
This 6902-nucleotide long non-coding RNA is filed under the name Sus scrofa (pig). RNAcentral describes it as "lncRNA (ENSSSCG00065004828.1)". The record is from RNAcentral. Lineage: Eukaryota; Metazoa; Chordata; Mammalia; Artiodactyla; Suidae.